Molecule: small nucleolar RNA, 128 nt
Organism: Mastomys coucha (southern multimammate mouse)
Lineage: Eukaryota; Metazoa; Chordata; Mammalia; Rodentia; Muridae
Product: small nucleolar RNA SNORA17
Exons: 1
Source: RefSeq, a predicted model, not a curated record
ACUGCCUCUAGAAGUAUUGUGGGUGUGGCUGCUGUGUCACAUGUGCAUUAGUAGGUGGCAGGGAGGAGAAAGGCUCUGUCUGUGCUCAGUGCCCCGAUCUAUAUCUGAAUGAUUACCAACCUAACAUU